AGAUGAAGACCCGCCCUCACCCCACCCCACCCUCGCGGCCUGGGAACUGGCAGGGCACCCUGGAUGGUGACCCAGAAACCUGGCUGUCGGCAGCUCCCGCCUGGCACUGCCCACAUCGAGCUCCCUGGCUUCCCACGGGAGUCCAUGGCAGCUGUCUGCAGGCAGAGGACACAGUCCCACUUGGAAAGCAGUUAAGGAAGAGAGACGAGAGAAACAGAAGUCAAGGACUGCGAGAAUCUCCUGCAGCCCCGGGGCCUGUUCCCAAACGAGUGUGACCUGGGCGGGCACAGGUGGCUGAAGCCACACGACUUGAGUCCCCAAGUCCUACAGCUGGUUAAUGAACUGUCAUGGACAUCCAAUCUCCAUGGGCAUGUGGCCUGGGGAGAUCAAGCCAGCCCAGGGCCUCAAACCAGACUCCAGAGCACAGCCCAGCCCCCAGGGGACGG
This 446-nucleotide long non-coding RNA is filed under the name Equus caballus (horse). RNAcentral's name for it is "lncRNA (ENSECAG00000057612.1)". Lineage: Eukaryota; Metazoa; Chordata; Mammalia; Perissodactyla; Equidae. The record is from RNAcentral.